GUGGUUCUCACCCUGUCAGUGCCCCUCCCUCCUUCCCUGUCUCUUCUGCUGGCAGCUCAUCCUCUGCUCCCAGGGGUCGAUGACUCCUGAAUUGACACAGCAAGUCUGACCUCGCUCCUGAGCUGUAGAAUAUUUCCCCAUCGUCGCCAUGAGAUAUUUCUGUCUCUCCAGGUACACUUGCAAUGGAUUUUCAGCAAAUUCAUUUUGGUUGAAUGACUGGAUGCUUCAUUUUCUUCCAUAUAUAUUACGUAACGUGAACCCACCGUGUAUAAUCAGUAAGAGUCAUUGAUUGGGCAAAGGCGGUGAAACUAGAGUUGAUUGUGCAUGCCUACGCAGGCAGAGCCUUGGCUGGCAUCUAAUUUUCACUUCUGCAGUGGGAUUUUUCUGAAGCCAAAACAGUAUUAAAGUGAGUUAACCUGUCACUUAAUCCUUUAAGUAACUCAAAUGUUUGUUUAGUUCUCAUUUUCUUAUCAAGACAUCCAAAUGUUGGACAAAGAUAGAUAUAAAUGUCAAAAAUCGUUCCAAAAAUACUUGUAGACAUGUUGAAAAAGUUUUAGUAUUAACUUAGCGUUUUUCAUAAGAUUUCAUUACAUGAUUGUAGAUAGAGAUGAGUAGAUACAAAGAUUUAAAAUUGAGAUUAUAUAUUCAAUUCAACAAUUUUUAGUGAGUAGCUAAUACAUAAAAAUGCUAAACUCAGUUGGAAAAUACUGCCCUUAUGAAGCUCACGUAUGAAUGUGCCAAUCAGGUAGUUUGUUCUUGUGCAUUAUUGUGAGUAUAUUUAGAGAAAUGUAAAAUUAAACUGACUGAAAAACCAAAGAAACCACACAUUUUUUAUGAUGCUAACUAAUCUCUUUCUACCCCAAAUGAAAUGAUGCCUGUAAAACACUUAACAGAGUGAGUGACAGAUAGUAGGGGCUCAGUCAACAUUAGUUGCCUUUUUCCUAAUAGUUGAGAAUGGAAUUAAGCAACUAUUUAUAAUGGAGUGGAGUGAAUGGGAAAUUCUUACUAGAAACUUUCAUUCAGCCAGAAGGACCCAAAUUGUUAUUGUGCUUACAUUGAAUUUAUCAGAUAACUGUUUAAUUUAUGACUUUAUUACCCCUAUAUGAACAUAGAGCUAACUGUAUAAUGUGAAAGAAAUAAAAUGAAAGAGAAACAAAGAAAAUCUUAAAAUGUAAAAUGUUGAAACUACGUGAAAAAUGUGAGGCACCUAAAACAGGAAAGAUAAGGCUGAAAGCAAAAACAAAACAUGUAUUAUAGAUGACCUGCUUCUGAGGAUAAUCUAAAGCUUCGACCGUAAUGCUAGACACAGUGGAUUCACAAUAAAUACAGAGAGACUUAUUGAUAGCGCGUUACCAGGAGCUGACUAGAGUGCCUAUUGAACAUGCAAUUUGUAAUUAUAAGGAAAUAAGACUGUGAAAAUUCUAGAAGAAAGCAGGAUUGCCCAACAUCCUCCAAGAUGGCUUGGCCUUUGCCCGACGAUCCAUGGGGAAUCUUCCAUUCUGUACCUUUCUGAGAGUCUGGCUUAAGGGAGUAGGACCACAAGCAGGGGCCUGCAAAGGCUGGAAACUUGGCCUCAAGAUGUGGUGUUCCAGGAGCUUCCCCACCCUGCCGGGAAAUUGCCCAGCUGGAUGGGAACGGAAUUGCCCUGCUGGUCCUCAGAGAGGAAGGACAGUGAUGCCAGCGAGAAUUGCUUCUUCCCACUGGCAUCUCCACCUGGUCAAAUAGCCAAAUGGUUAUAAAGGAGAACCUUGGUCAACAUCAGUGGGGAGGAUGGAAUUAUGCUCCAUCAGCAGGGUGACCUCAAAAUG
Molecule: long non-coding RNA, 1808 nt
Organism: Rhinolophus ferrumequinum (greater horseshoe bat)
Lineage: Eukaryota; Metazoa; Chordata; Mammalia; Chiroptera; Rhinolophidae
Exons: 3
Source: RefSeq, a predicted model, not a curated record